AGAGUUUGAUCCUGGCUCAGAUUGAACGCUGGCGGCAUGCCUAACACAUGCAAGUCGAACGAGAUCACCUCGGUGGUCUAGUGGCGGACGGGUGAGUAACACAUGGGAAUCUGCCUUUUAGUGGGGGAUAACGUAGGGAAACUUACGCUAAUACCGCAUACGCUCUACGGAGGAAAGGGGGGGAUCGCAAGACCUCUCGCUAAAAGAUGAGCCCAUGUCUGAUUAGCUAGUUGGUGGGGUAAAGGCCUACCAAGGCGACGAUCAGUAGCCGGCCUGAGAGGGUGUACGGCCACACUGGGACUGAGACACGGCCCAGACUCCUACGGGAGGCAGCAGUGGGGAAUUUUGGACAAUGGGGGCAACCCUGAUCCAGCCAUUCCGCGUGAGUGAAGAAGGCCUUCGGGUUGUAAAGCUCUUUCAGCAGGAACGAAACGGUACGCUCUAACAUAGCGUGCUAAUGACGGUACCUGCAGAAGAAGCACCGGCUAACUACGUGCCAGCAGCCGCGGUAAUACGUAGGGUGCGAGCGUUAAUCGGAAUUACUGGGCGUAAAGCGUGCGCAGGCGGAUUGUUAAGCAAGACGUGAAAUCCCCGGGCUUAACCUGGGAAUGGCGUUUUGAACUGGCAGUCUAGAGUGUGUCAGAGGGGGGUAGAAUUCCACGUGUAGCAGUGAAAUGCGUAGAGAUGUGGAGGAAUACCGAUGGCGAAGGCAGCCCCCUGGGAUAACACUGACGCUCAUGUACGAAAGCGUGGGUAGCAAACAGGAUUAGAUACCCUGGUAGUCCACGCCCUAAACGAUGUCAACUGGUUGUUGGGGGAGUGAAAUCCCUUAGUAACGAAGCUAACGCGUGAAGUUGACCGCCUGGGGAGUACGGUCGCAAGAUUAAAACUCAAAGGAAUUGACGGGGACCCGCACAAGCGGUGGAUGAUGUGGAUUAAUUCGAUGCAACGCGAAAAACCUUACCUACCCUUGACAUGUCCGGAAUCCUGCAGAGAUGCGGGAGUGCCCGAAAGGGAAUCGGAACACAGGUGCUGCAUGGCUGUCGUCAGCUCGUGUCGUGAGAUGUUGGGUUAAGUCCCGCAACGAGCGCAACCCUUAUCAUUAGUUGCUACGCAAGGGCACUCUAAUGAGACUGCCGGUGACAAACCGGAGGAAGGUGGGGAUGACGUCAAGUCCUCAUGGCCCUUAUGGGUAGGGCUUCACACGUCAUACAAUGGUCGGUACAGAGGGUUGCCAAGCCGCGAGGUGGAGCCAAUCCCAGAAAGCCGAUCGUAGUCCGGAUUGUUCUCUGCGACUCGAGAGCAUGAAGUCGGAAUCGCUAGUAAUCGCGGAUCAGCAUGUCGCGGUGAAUACGUUCCCGGGUCUUGUACACACCGCCCGUCACACCAUGGGAGUGGAAUCUGCCAGAAGUAGGUAGCCUAACCGCAAGGAGGGCGCUUACCACGGUGGGUUUCAUGACUGGGGUGAAGUCGUAACAAGGUAACC
RNAcentral lists this ribosomal RNA (1486 nucleotides) under uncultured bacterium. RNAcentral's name for it is "bacterial SSU rRNA". It matches the Rfam family "Bacterial small subunit ribosomal RNA". The record is from RNAcentral.